GACGAACGCUGGCGGCGUGCUUAACACAUGCAAGUCGAACGGAAAGGCCCUGCUUGCCGGGUGCUCGAGUGGCGAACGGGUGAGUAACACGUGGGUGAUCUGCCCCUUACUUUGGGAUAAGCCUGGGAAACUGGGUCUAAUACUGGAUAGGACCAUGCUGUAGGUGGUGUGGUGGAAAGAUUAGUUUCGGUAAGGGAUGAGCUCGCGGCCUAUCAGCUUGUUGGUGGGGUAAUGGCCUACCAAGGCGUCGACGGGUAGCCGGCCUGAGAGGGUGGACGGCCACAUUGGGACUGAGAUACGGCCCAGACUCCUACGGGAGGCAGCAGUGGGGAAUAUUGCACAAUGGGCGCAAGCCUGAUGCAGCGACGCCGCGUGGGGGAUGACGGCCUUCGGGUUGUAAACUCCUUUCAGCCAUGACGAAGCCCUUGUGGUGACGGUAGUGGGAGAAGAAGCACCGGCUAACUACGUG
This 469-nucleotide ribosomal RNA is filed under the name uncultured bacterium. Its description in RNAcentral is "partial 16S ribosomal RNA". It matches the Rfam family "Bacterial small subunit ribosomal RNA", at positions 28 to 507 of the family's 1533-position model. The record is from RNAcentral.